RNAcentral lists this ribosomal RNA (1513 nucleotides) under uncultured Bordetella sp. RNAcentral describes it as "partial 16S-23S ribosomal RNA intergenic spacer". It matches the Rfam family "Bacterial small subunit ribosomal RNA". Lineage: Bacteria; Pseudomonadati; Pseudomonadota; Betaproteobacteria; Burkholderiales; Alcaligenaceae. The record is from RNAcentral.
GGUUUGAUUAAAUGGCUCAGAUUGAACGCUGGCGGGAUGCUUUACACAUGCAAGUCGAACGGCGAGGACUCAGUCUGGUGGCGAGUGGCGAACAGGUGAGUAAUGUAUCGGAACGUGCCUAGUAGCGAGGGGAUAACUACGCGAAAGCCAUAGCUAAUACCACAUACGCCCUUCCACGGGGAAAGCAGGGGACCUUCGGGCCUCGCACUAUUAAACGGCGAUAUCGGUUAAGCUAGUUGGUGGGGUAACGGCUCGCAAGGCGACGAUCCGUAGCUGGUUUGAAGGACAAACCAGCCACACUGGGACUGGGGCACGGCCCAGACUCUGCAGGAGGCAGCAGUGGGGAAUUUUGGACUUAAUGGGGGAAACCCUGAUCCAGCCAUCCCGCGUGUGCGAUGAGGCCUUCGGUUUGUAAAGCACUUUUUGGCAGGAAAAAGACGACUGCCCGGGAUAAUACCCCGUGCAACUGACUCGUUACUGCAGAAUAAGCACCGGCUAACUACGUGCCAGCAGCCGCGGUAAUACGUAGGGUGCAAGCGUUAAUCGGAAUUACUGGGCGUAAAGCGUGCGCAGGCGGUUCGGAAAGGAAAGAUGUGAGAAUCCCAAGAGCUUAACUUGGAACUGCAUUUUUAACUACCGAGCUAGAGUGUGUCAGAGGGAGGUGGAAUUCCGCGUGUAGCAGUGAAGAAUGCGUAGAUACCGGAGGAACACCGAUGGCGAAGGCAGCCUCACCGAGGAUAACACACUGACGCUCAUGCACAGCAUUAAAGGGAGCAAACAGGAUUGAAUACCCUGGUAGUCCACGCCCUAAACGUGUCAGCAACUGUUGUUGGGGCCUUCGGAGCCUUGGCCCAGCGCAACUAACGCGUGAAGUUGACCGCCUAGGAGUACGGUCGCAAGAUUAAAACUCAAAGGAAUUGACGGGGACCCGCACAAGCGGUGGAUGAUGUGGAUUAAUUCGAUGCAACGCGAAAAACCUUACCUACCCUUGACAUGUCUGGAAUCCCGAAGAGAUUUGGGAGUGCUCGCAAGAGAACCGGAACACAGGUGCUGCAUGGCUGUCGUCGAAAACGGUGUCGUGAGAUGUUGGGUUAAGUCCCGCAACGAGCGCAACCCUUGUCAUUAGUUGCUACGAAAGGGCGCUCUAAUGGGACUACUGCCGGUGACAAACCGGAGGAAGGUGGGGAUGACUGAUCCAAGUCCUCCUUGGCCCUUAUGGGUAGGGCUUCACACGUCAUACAAUGGUCGGGACAGAGAGUUCGCCAACCCGCGAGGAGGGAGCCAAUCCCAGAAACCCGAUCGUAGUCCGGAUCGCAGUCUGCAACUCGACUGCGUGAAGUCCAGAAUGUCGACAAUCGCGGAUCAGCAUGUCGCGGUGAAUACGUUCCGGGUCUUGUACACACCGCCCGUCGCUGCACCAUGGGAGUGGGUUUACCAGAAGUAGUUAGCUAACCGUAAGGAGGGCGAUUACCACGGUAGGAUUCAUGACUGGGGUGAAGUCGUGACAAGGUAG